AAAUGUUAUAUUUUUUAACACUAAUAAAAAAUAAUCUCAUUUAAAAUUCAAAACUAAUCUAAUUAACUUUAUUUUAUAGACAACAAAUGAAUUACAUAUAAAGACAUAAAGUAUGAACUAUAUAAAAAUAGUAAAUUAAACAUACUAAAUAAUAUAAAAGAAUCCUUGAAAUAACUUCAUUCAUAUUUCAAUUCAAAACGAAACGUAUAAAAAUAAGUAGUACGGAUUUUACAAGAACCUGUUUGAUAAAUUAUAUCGAAUAAAGAAGUAUCGCCACCAAAAACUCAAACGGAAACCCGACUUCAACUCGACAAUCUUUUCUCCGCAUGUCUUUUUUUCUAGUUUUUCUUCUUUGAUUUUCUCUCUUUACUUUUCUCACUGUUCUCUUUUGUUUUGUUUAUUCUCCUUUUGUUUUCUCCCUUUUUCCUUUCCCUCAUUUUUUUAAGUGUUUAGUUUGUGUGUGUCAUGUGUAUGCUAAUGUUUUUUUUUUUGUUUUCUCUCCCCUCUUUUUUUUUUUGGUUUGUCC
RNAcentral lists this long non-coding RNA (526 nucleotides) under Capsicum annuum. RNAcentral describes it as "long non-coding RNA (CANN_LNC002321)". The record is from RNAcentral. Lineage: Eukaryota; Viridiplantae; Streptophyta; Magnoliopsida; Solanales; Solanaceae.